AUGGGCGUGCGCUCAAAGGAUACAAAUAGGGAUUCGCAAACAAAAAGGGGAAUUCGUAGUCACUUUUUCCUGUCGCGUAAAAAAAAGUCUUUACGCUAGAGCAAUAGAGGUUGGGAUACAUCUAUCUCUUCUGAGCAACCUCUUUUGGAUUCUUAA
This 156-nucleotide ribosomal RNA is filed under the name Triticum aestivum (bread wheat). Its description in RNAcentral is "partial small subunit ribosomal RNA". Lineage: Eukaryota; Viridiplantae; Streptophyta; Magnoliopsida; Poales; Poaceae. The record is from RNAcentral.